This is a long non-coding RNA of Ailuropoda melanoleuca (giant panda), 4675 nucleotides long. RefSeq lists it as uncharacterized. The transcript is spliced from 3 exons. The record is from RefSeq and is a predicted model, not a curated record. NCBI's taxonomy places the organism in Eukaryota, Metazoa, Chordata, Mammalia, Carnivora, Ursidae.
AAUAGUUCAUUUUUGCUUUCGUUUCCCUUGCCUCCAGAGACAUGUCUUGUAAGAAGUUGCUGUGGCUGAGGUCAAAGAGGUUGCUGUCAGGACCACUAACUUACUUUGAACUUGGGUGACCCCCAGAUAAAAGCCAAUGGUUGGACAUGAGUGGUCCAGACCAGGGCUAAGCAGGCACCAGAUUUGAAUUCCUAGACGUUUUCUCAAGUUACCAGCAUCUGUCCUCUGGUUCAGGCCCCAACAGUGUGGGCCAAGGCCACCCACCACCCACCACCCACCACCAUAACUAAACAUCAGUUAUUAAUCUCGUGGUGUUCAUCAUUUUGAUAUUUGUCAGCUAUAAAAAUGGUAAUGAUUAUAAUACAAAUAACAACAACAAUAACUAUCACUCUUUGGGUGUGAUUUAGAAACAAAAGGCUAUGAAAGCCAUCUACAGAUGAUUUAACAACUGAUUAUUCCUUAUAUUGGCUCCAGUUUGAAUUCUCAGCUCACAAGAUUUUAAGACCUCACAUGUUUGGAGGUUUGUUUCAAAACGAAGAGUCCUAUCUGGGAGUCAAAAAUCCCAGCUUCUGAUUCCAGCCACACCUUUCUUGCUCUGUGAUCUUGGCUAGGUAACAGAUCUGAGCCACAAUUUUUCAUAAGAAGGAGAGCGGAUGACGUAAGCUGUGUCUUUCCCAGGUUUGUGGUGAGGAGCAAAAGAAGGAAAGAUGUUGAGAGUACACUGGUACAUACAUGUACUGAUUAGAAGCUCACAGAAGGUACAGGACCACUUGUUUCUAAAUCGCUCAUGACACCUGGCAAGCUCCUGCUCUGUUUACUGUAAUUACUGUUAGGUGUUGCGGCCAACCUUGCACUUGAAAGGCCACUCUAGACAAUUGCCCAGAAUAACAUUUAUAUAAAUUAAAAACAGAUUCAAGUUUACUUUCCUCGGAAUAAGGUAGAUUUCAGUGAAAAUCAUUCGGGGGCUCUGAACAGCGAAGGUGUUUCUCUUGCUCGAAUGAUAUGUUCAUCGUAUGGCUUUGCUUCUCGAGGCAUCCAGAGGCUUCAGGCUGAUGGAACGGCCGCCUUCUCCAACGGGCUGGCCACUGUGAUCUGACGGUCUGGUCCCUGCAAUUGAAUUUCAGCCCGGACCUGACCUAUCUCACUCUGUUCACUACUUGUUGGCCAGAAUGGACCGCAGGGCCCUCCCAGCCUCACGGAGCCAGAAGGUGAGAGUGCUAUCCCCCCGGGGCCCCAGAGGGCCGAGGGCUAGGAAUCCUCAGGUACCCACAGACAGCCUCUAUUUUUCCGUGCAGUGUAGUGCUUUGAUUCAGUGAUGGGCUCACCCAUCGCUCCUUUUAUAGACUGAGCAUUCCUUGAGCACCUGCUAUAUGUCGGGAAUGGUGCCUGAUAGGGUUGCUACGAAGUCAUAGACAAGCUCUCUUCCUUCGAGUGCAGGGUUUAGAAACACGCUCUGCACGGAUGGUACAUGAGCUUCAACCCGAUGCUUCAUCCUGUCUGAGGAGAGAAGGACGGAUUCCUGCAGGUGGUCCAAGUCCCCACAGAACCAGUCCCUGCUGCUGUAGCCAAAAGCACAUUCUUCACUUGGUCGCCGUCAAAAUCAAAUUACCUAGCAAGCAGGGACUGACGAGGCCUGUCACUACACAAAGUUAAUUAAAAAAAAAAAAAAGAAAGAAAGAAAAGGUAAGUGACCCAGUUUCCUGUGGCCUGUCACUUGAGCCAUCCCUGUUUCUCACCGCCCCCCUCCCAUGUGCCCUGGAGAUGCCCAAGGACGAGGCCAGGCUGCUCUGCAGGUAACAGGGAAAUGGGCUGGCAAGACUCGCAGCUGGAGCUUGGGGUCUGCCUACCAUUUGGGCUCCGGUCGGAGUCCCUAUCGAGACCAUCAAUCUUCGGCUCACGGCUGUGUUUCCUCGGGGGGUUGCAUUUUCUUGUUCUGUUUUGUUCAGCAUGGCAUUCAAGAUUCCUCCACAGAGAUCUGUGUUGGGGCAGGAAAAUACUACGUGAAUUAUGUCCUCGUGAAGUCACCAUCUGGCCAAUAUUCAUCUUGCAGCUCGGAAUACCAAAGCCAUCCUUUGGCACAGAUGCUGGGCCAGAUCAGCACGCAGAAGUGACUGCAGUCACAAACCAACACGCCACCCAGUGUCAUUAAUGCACCUGUGGCCACUUCAGGCUUCCAUCCCGCACUGGCACAAUGCUUGGCUUUUCCUUUUCGCGUGUGGCGUUUGGUGUUGUUUUUGUCCCUCAGGGGCGGGGAGGGAGGUUUUGCCAUUUGAAUCAGGUCCUACAUCUUCAGAAGUAAUUAAGUCACCGUCACGGGGCUGGUAAAAAUGGGAGUGUUUGUGCGUGUUCGAGAAGCUGCAUCACAUGCGAACAAUGCAACACUGAGCGGCUUUCUGUGGCUUGAAGAGGCCAUUGUCCUGUGUGUCUGGACUCCGCUCUGCUGUUGGCGCUCAGUGGCUCCGGAAGCCCAGCCCCAGCCGCUGGUCUCCUGGUGGCUCUGUGCCAGAUGGAAGAAGGGAAGGGACCCCAAGCCUGGAGAGAGAAAAGACAGAACACAAAACAGCCUAUCAUGACUUCCCUGUGAGCAGGGGGGGAUUUCACAGCUGCCUUCAUCCCUUCCCACACUGGUCCUGCCCAGUGGGUGCUGGUGCUGUUUUAAAGGGGGAAGGGGAUGGGAGGGAAGCGUCCCAUCCCCGCGCAUUUGAAAUUCUGGGAAGCCAUGAAUGCUCUCUCCAGGCAGAGACCAGCGAGUUCAAAUACGGGACAUGAGGAGGAACAGAAGUUGCAGGAUCGCCAGCAGUGAUGGUGCCUGCUGGUCCCGACAGGGCGGGGGUGUCUGAGGGUCGCGCCGAAGGCUCCUUCCAUCCCAAGAGCCACGUAGGGUGUGGGGGUGAGGGAGGGCCUUGCUCUGGUUCAGCAACAUGCAGGGGCGGUGACCCAGGCCCCUGGGCAGUGCACACAGGGGAGGGGCAGUGCUGUCACGGUGACCUUGCUGCGGGCGGUGCAGCCUGGGGCAUAUGGCAGCCCAGAUUCUGCUCCCCUGUCACGUCACUUCUGCAUGGAAAUAGCAGAAUUGCAGGCAGCAGUUAAAGGUUUCCAAAAGCCCUUGAGUGUCAUUAGGGGCUUGUCACUGCCUUUUUCCGAGCUCUGCGAUGAAUGGCUCCCAAAUGUCUCUUAUCAAAUUAAAGCUCCUUAUCCCGGACUGGUGCCUCCUCGGCUAACUGGCUCCUGCCCACCCGACUAACCCAGGCUUAUUCUGAAGCACCCUGUCCCAUGCCCUGAGCUGCCUCUCUGAAGCCUUCUCCUUGCCAGCUGUCUUCGGGUCCAUUCCGGGCAACAGCUGUGCGUUGAACUUCUGCCCCAGAGCCAGGCCCUGAUAGAAGGGGAGGUGGGUUCGGUAAUGAGUCAGAUGGCGUCGAGUCACAAUACAGAAAGCAUUUCCGAGUGUCCGAGAGAGGAGGCGAUAGUUUGAGUUUCAGUCCAAACUCAGGAGCUAAGUCCGCUCAGGCAAGUUACUUAAUGUCUCCAGCCGUCUCUUUAGGAGGGCUCAGGAGUAAAAUGGGGAAAAUAAUGCAGGGUUGUUCUAAGAAUGGAAUGAGGGCUUUCUCUAACUAUUGAUCACGGUAUAUUUCACAUAUGUAUUUCACACACACACACACACACACACACACACACACGGCCCUCAAGGGCCCAUUGUUACUUUCACUGCAGCUCAGAUGGGCCAUGAAGAAAGAGCAGUCAUCGUUGCCUACAGAAGCCUGCAAAGGCCUCAUCCAAGGACAGACUCGAGACUGUUUUCUCUUCUUGCAGCAGACGCGAGAGCAAAGGACAGUUCUGGGCAGGGAAUGGCAGCCACAAAAUCAGGGAGGCGGGAAUCAGCCCAGCAUGUUCCCGGAGAGACAUGGACCGCCGGAGCCCCGGUUGCUGGGGGCCGAGGUGGAAGAUGAUCCUAGAAAGGCCUUUGGUAGCCAGGCUGACACCCACCAAGGCCGCCAGUCGCUUAUUUGUCAGGCUGCGGCAAAAAUGCUCGUCCUCCGUGUUCUCUGCCGUGUCGGUUUCGGCCCUCCUCCUCAGACUGCUGGUGCCCAGCUUUCCCAUUCAGCCUUGCCUGCUUCCAAGCUUCUGUCUUGGCAGCCCAGAGGGAUGGCCUCAGAACCUUGAGCUUCCCGGCCUGCUGACUUUCUCCAGCCUGGAGCAGUGACCUUGGAGCCUCUGAGCAUCAGGCCUUAAAGGUUCUUCACAGCGGGUCCCCCACAGCAUGAAUUGACCUCUCCCUUGUUAGAUCGCUGUUUCUGUAUAACCUCACUGUGCUAUUAUGCCGGCAGGAUCUGGUCCAGUUACUCAGUUAUAUUAAAGACCUCGUCGUUGGACUGAAUGGUUCUGUGCCCCUCUCCCAAAUUCAUAUGUUGAUGCCCUAACCCCCAGUGUGAUGGUAUUUGGAGAUGGGGGCCUUAAGGCAGUUAUGAGUGUUAGACAAAGUCAUGAAUGUGGGCCCCAUGUUGCACUUAGUAACUUUAGAAGGAGAGGAACAGUUGGGUCACAGCUUCCCCUCUCUGCCAUGUGAGGACACAGGGAAGGUCACUGUCCAUGAGCCUGGAAGAGAACCCUCACCAGGAAUGGAAUCUGCAGACUCCUUGAUCUUGGGUUCCCAGCCUCCAAAACCAUGAGAAAUAAA